CUCCUGUGGCAAUACACAGAAGAUCUUGCAAUAUUUUUUAUUCCAUCAAGCGUAGACCAAUUUCAGUAUGUGCGCAUAGCACUCCUUUGGCGUUUGGGUUUUGCAGAUCUGCAGUUGUUACCAGAACAUUAUUCUCCUCUUGAUAUGAGCAGCAGAAAUGCUGCUUUACUUCAUUAACCCUAAGGCAUAGAGGGCUUAGUGUUUGAUUACUGGAUGCUUUUUGAUAUCAACUGGAGGGUGUUGAGAGGUUCUCUGAGCUCUUUUCUAUAAUUAACUAAUUCUGGGUUUCUUUCUUCUGUUCUUUUAUGGGAAUUACAUCUGGUUUUCAACUCACUGGAAGUUAGUACGCAUUGCAUGAGUAUUCGUCUCAUAGUAAUUUGUGAUUCAGUGAAUGGAGUGACUGAUUGGCUGAUGAAACUGCUCCCUCAGCAGAGGUAGGGAGCAGGCACAAUGAGACCUAAAAGACCACUGCAGAAAAGUUCACCAAAAGGAAUCUUCAGCAAUGAAGAUGGUGUCCUCAGGUCUUAGUCUUAUUUGUGAAACCCAAAUAUACUGGAAUAGCUCCUUGGAAAGUUUGAGCCCUGCAGAAACUGGCCACAGUGUCCAUAUAGAAUUAUAUGAAGAGAAUAGCCUUGCAGUGCUGUUUUUCUGACCCAUCCCACAGAUUACCCACUUCCCACUAACUUCAGUUCCAGACCCUGCAAACAAACGGAUCUUUGUGAAAAAGUAGGCAGGAGAUCACAGCAAAGUAGGACUGAUGACAGCACUUGACUAUCCCACAGACACACAAGGUCCUGCACUACAGAGAGGGUAUGGCGAAGUCAAAGCUAUGCGCGGUUCUUCUAGGCCUUUCCUUCCAUAAUAAAAUCUCACUGCUGCUUGAUUUCUGCAAAUAAAAGGCAAACGCUUCAUCUUGCUUUGGACAAGGAAGAGGAACUGUGGUUAGGUUUGCUUGUAGCUAUCAUCACAAUGGUCAGGGUCUGGAGUUUGUAAAAUUUUCUUCCCAAAUAUUGAAAGCAUUCUUCCUAAGUCUCUAAAGCAGCCUCAUCUAUCAAAGUUUGAGAUAAAAAUCUGCAAGAUAUCAUUACUUACCAAUGUGCUAAAUGCGAAGCACUUUGAUCUCAGUUUAGAGAAUGGGUGCUACCAACUCCCACUCCCUGCCAGAUAUUCUGAGGUGCCACCCGCUGUUUUUUUCUUUUACUUUUUUUUUUUUUUUUUUUUGGUCUUUCUGAGACUGGCCUGGAACUUGCAAUGAUCCUCCUGCCUCACCGUCCCAAGUGCAAGGAUUACAGGCAUGUGCAUACCCUGUUUUUUCCUUUGGGCCAACAAAUUCUCUAGAGUUAAAAAUCCUCGGGCUACCUGCCACUGUGAGGCUGGCAGUGGCAGAGGCCUUCUGCACCUUGCACCUCAGGAAGGGCACUCCCUACACAUGGCUUGUUGUUUCUGUCAUCUGGGAGCCACAGAAUCUUAAUAGAAACUUGAACUGCAGAAAGACACACCUCUGAACACUUUCCACAGAUACUGUAAUAGAUUGUCAUGGAAUAUUACUUCUUAGUAGCCAAAGGGAGGUAAAAAAUUAAACUGCUAUUCAUUUGCUAGACUGGGAGGGUCUACAAAGGCUUCAGGGCGAAACACAACCCACAUCUGGCAAAUUUCUUCAUAGAGCAGAAAUACUGCCCAAGGGCAUGAUCUCUGUCUCAGCCUCUCACACAGUUAACAAAAACUCAGCUCGAACCAACAGUCAUCUAAAAACCCAUUUGUAUUAUGCUCGUUGUAGAAUAUAUGGAAAAAAUCUCUCCAACCAACUGUGUAAGGGUGAACCCUGGUCCAGAAUCCCUCUCACCUCCACCUACCCGGGCAGCUACAGUUUGAGGCAUGUCUUUGUUUGGUUGGCAGGUGGGGAGAACAGGACCAUGGCUUCCUGACAAGGAAUUCAGAGGGCUCCUCCUUAGCUGGGCAGGAAGAAACUGAGAAUGCCUGUGGAUCUGUAGACCAGCUCUGCCAGGUGCUGCCUCCUGCGGAUCGGACAUCUGCCCUCAAAGGCCUCCUCACACAGGCGCUGUCCGAGGGGUGGAUGUGAGCAGGACAGUGAAGAGCACUUCUGCCUCUUCACCUCCUGACUGCCUGUUCCUCACCUUUCCUCUCCCCACUCCAGUUCUCCAGGCACAGGAGUUCUAAUCACUCUCCAGAUUCCUGAAGUCAUCCUAUGAUGGCUCCCACCUCCAGAAUAUUCCCACCUAGAGCCUCUUCUCUGAACUGAUUCACACUUCAUCAUGAAUGACUGACAGUGCUCUUAUUACAUCCAGAAAGUUUGCAUUUGAAGAGGCCUGCUAGGCAAAACAACCAAUAGUGGGGCCGUUUUAGGAACCAUGGAGUAAACUGAACCACAUGUGGGGAGAAGGCAGUGGCAGCUGUGUAUCCAGCGCUAACGCAGGCAGGUCUGGGUGUCGGCGCCUUGUGCCGCCAUGGUUCUCCUGGGGAGCCACUGAGCAGGGGCGACCUGGCUGACGGGAAGUGGGGACCCACAAGACAGGCACAUUCUGGAAAAUCUUCAGACGUCUUUCGGCCAGUCUUCUUACUCCAUGGGCAAGCAACUUGUCCACGAAGAACCGCAGCUGCCCCCGCAGCGCCUGCCCUUUCCCUGUCCACUACAGCCUGAGGGCUGGCCUGCUGGCCUCCCCCAUAGGCCAGGUCUCCCGCUGGGCGUUCCUCGGGGACCACAGGAAGUGGAAGGGCUGGGGGCACAGGUGCUUCCAGGUGGCGCAUGGUCCUGAGCUGCAGGCCUCCUCCUUAGGAGCUGCAGCUGGCGGUUCCUAUCGCACGCUGCCUGCGGUGCAGCAGAGCAGAGGCCUCCCCAGGGUGCUCCCCAAGCCGAGGACCGUCCACGCUGCAAUUCCCAGCGCCCACUUGGCCAGGAUGGACUGCUGCGGGCGGCCUGGCUUUUCCCGUUCCUAUCCCCACACGCAGCUCUGAGAGAAGCCGCGUCCCGGGAGGUAGGAGCUGGAGGCAGAGCCAGGAACCCAUGCAGGAAGUUCAGCCUACAUAUUCUUUGCCAGAUACAAGUACCUUCUCUGGGAUCUAUCAUCAGAUAUAAUCAAACUCAUCAACCCUCCCCUGUAAGGGGCUGACGUAAGAAGAAAUGAAUUUGCCUUACCAGGGCUUGUUAACUAUUACAUGAAGCAAGUGCAGAAGCGAGGAACUGUGCCUGACCCGUGUCCGAAUGCGAUCUGCUAUGUGGAGGCACCGAACACUUUUGGGAAAAGUGAAGUUCUCCUUGUGUGGCUGGGUGCAGAUGUAAGGACUAGCUCCCUACCAGUCCACUGCUGACCUGAUGACGGGGAUUAAUUCAUUACUGUUGGGAACAGAUGAAAAUCUCCACUCUGGAUUAGGUAUCCUGUGCUACAGCUCCCACAGGGAAGAAGAGGUUAUCCUAUUACUCAUACAUGAAAGUAUGGACAACUAUUUUGAAGAGAAUGAGAGAUACUAUGGCAGCCAUUGUUGACUUCCUUAUUAUCUGGCCUUGAAGACCUAAAAUGCCUUCAUCAUCCUGCUCUCAUCAGUUCUAUACUAUUUUGUUUUGUGGGAAUUCAUUGUAUGUGAAGAUAUAGACAACUAUUUGGAAGAAAACAAGAGACAAAAUGAUAGACAGUGACGAUUUCUAGUUGUCUUGUUUGGAAAUCUUUAUCUUAUAUUGUUAUCUUAUGAUGUUUUGUUCUGUUUCUUUAUGUUUAAUUUUACCCUCUUUAAAAAAGACAAAAACAAAAAAUGUGUUUGCUUGAAGGAGAAUGUUGUUUUAAAAAUCUUUCUUACUGAACUGCCUUUUUCUGUGUUUUGGCUAUAGAAAAUCAGCUUUGUUUUGUUGAUUCUUUUGUCUGUGCCUACUGGUGUUUCCAGCUUGUGAGCUGCUUCUGCUGGAAAUCCCUGGCAAUCAUCUAUCACAUUGUUUCUUGAUCAUAAGUGACCCUACCUGUCUGCCAUGUUUUCUUUGUCUUUCAGAGUCUCUUAUGUUUCUGUAAUGCUUAAGGACUUCAGUUGUAGUUAGUAGGAAAACAUGAAAUAGUAUGUCUACUCUUUCUUCCUAGAAAGUGCAAGUCUCUCCAAAAACUUUUCAGCAAUCUCAUAAAAAGACACAGGACAUUUCUUAUCAAAAAUCCUACACUACUUAGUGGUUGUAUAAGUCUGGGUUUCCUAGAGAAACAGAUAUAACACAAAUAUACAAAUGUAUAAGAAAUUAAAAGAUUGGCUUACAAUGGUCAGCCACAAAGUUGAAUGAGAGAGCGUCUGCUCACUGCAGGUUGAAGGGUCCAGCCCAAGGUCUGGAGCUUACUGCAGUGUUCUGUGCAAGUCUGUGUCAGGAGGUCAAGGGGUCUAAACGUGGAACACUGAAAAAUCUACAAUGGAAGGCUAGAGAGUGUAUGACAAAGACUGAAAGGUCUAAGGUGAAUGCUAGAGUCCCAGGAAAAAGUGAACAAUCUGUGCCAGAAGCCAGGAGAAGAUAUCCAAGCUGAAGGUGAAGGCUGGAGCUGCACUGAAGAACCAGCAUUCAUUCCCUCCUCGGCUUCCUUUUGUUGUAUGCGGCUGCUCCCCUGGGGUGGUAUAGCACUCACACAUCUGUGUGCCUUCCUCUUGCAGGCUGAGGCAGUUACUACUUUGGCCCCCUGCUGAAUCACUUAGUUAAACUUCUGAGCUUCUCAAAUUGACACAAUGAACAUUAUCCUAGAAUGGUAAUGGCUUGUCCUCUGCACCCAGGAUGUAAACUGCUGAGUCACUUAGUUAAGCUUCUAGACUUCUCAAGUUGACACAGUGCAUAAACCAUAAUAUUGGUGAAUUAAUAUCUCUGACGUGAACUUCAGUGCUCCCUGUAAUAUUGAAGAAACUAUUUUGUCUCAAUGAAAUAUUUUGGAACAUUUGUUCACUAAUGUAGGGAGUAGCCUGUCAGUCAUCUCUGUUUGUUCUCAUUGUGUAUCUGUUUGAAUUUUCCUGCAAAUGCUCCAUUGCUCCUUACCUAGACCUCUUAUUUUGAAAUUUGAGCAUCUUUGGUUCUACUGUGUCAUGUCAGUUACUCAAAUUACAGGUGCUAAACAUCUCUAAUUUUCAUUGCAACAAAUGCAACCAGUACACUGAAUUGACUGUGAAGCAGAGGUCUGAUUUUUCCACAGUACAAAUUUGUAGAAAAAGCCAAGGUAUGUUAUAGAUGUUCUAGGGAAAUAUAGUGAAAAAAAGUUAAAUCACUUGUUUAUAUCCUAUAUAAAAGCAAAAUUCGUAGAACUGCUUCUAGUCCAUUUAUUUUGCUCUAUUGAGUUUUGUUUUUGUCGCUUGUAAAAGACAUUCUCUCUGUGUGUGUGUCUCUCUCUCUCUCUCUGUUUCUCUCUCUGUGUGUGUGACUUUUUAAAUUGUCUUAAUACUCAGUAGGAUAAAGAGUGAGUCAUGGCUAUUUUGUGUGUUUUACUUUUCCAUAUAAACAUGAAAAUGCUUGUAGACCUCUAAAAAUUGUGCAGUCUUUAAAAUAAUUUUGUUCAAGUGGGAAGGGGAACUAAGGAGUGGUGAGAGGGUAAGGAAGGAAGGGAAAAGAAAAAAACGAGGAAAGAAGAAAAAAAUGGAAACAAAGUUUUUGUAAAUAAGGGGGAAGAGAAUGUGAAGGGAAGGGGAUGGGAUGGGAAAAAAUCAAGUUAUAUUGUGUACAGGUACAAAUUCCCUGUGAGAUGAAUAUGAUCAUUAUUCAUAUCUAUGAAGUACCAGUCAAUGUAAUUAAUAAAAAAGACCUCCCCCAAUAAAGAAUUUUUGGUCAUACUGGAGGGAAAAAUUUUGUAUCGAACUAACUCAAAUAUGUUCUAUUUGUUCAGAUUUUCUUUGGUAGUUAAAGUGCCUCAGUAUUUCCCUUAUCUCAAGACCUGGUCUCUACUAGUUUACUUUCUGCUUUCUUGAUUUCUACAAUGUUAUGAUAUGUUUAUUGCCUCAAUAAUUCUUUUAUUAAUUCCAAUAUUUCCUUGACUUUUUCUUUCUGUAAAUAAUCAUAGCAUUCUUCCUUUGCUGUUAGUGUGCUUUCUACCUUUUCUUUCUCAGUGUUAAGACAUUCAGUACUAUGCUGAACAAUCACAGAAAUCAUUCUUAUUUUGUUCCAGCUUCUAAGGAGAAUAUACUUAACUGCAGUUAAUCAGUUCUCAUAAACUAUUUAGAAUUUCUAUGCAUGCAUGAGACUACAUGUAUAUCUAUCCUUUCUGUAUUAGAGGGAAAAACAACACAAAGCAAGACAAAACAAAACAAAUUCCUAAAAAAAACGUGAAAUGAAAAAGUCAUAUAAAACCACAGUACAAGGUAGUCUACAAUGGUUACUAUGAUGUCUCUUGUUAUCUUCAAUAGAAUCGUCUAUAUCAUAGACAUAGGUAUAGUAUAAUUGAACAUAGCAGUACAUAACAAUAUUAAUAAAAAUAAAACAUUGGAGACAUUAUAGGACUUCAAAAGCAGUUAAUAAUCAAACCGGAAUGGGCAUCCUAUUGAAUCUUGUCUUUACUCUGAGACUUGAUACUAUUAAGCAUAUCAGAUUCAAAUAAAUUAGACAAAACAAAACAGCGAUCUAACAAACCAGAGUCAAACAAGAUCAGUGCUAACUAGCUUUCUUAAAAUAAACUUUAUGUAAUAGAUUUCUGUUCUUUAUUUUUAUUUUCUUUGGCUUUCACUUUAAAGAAAUUUAUGACUGGUGCUUAACAUAGUUAUUUUAUCUUUCUAAUUUUAAAAUAUAUUUACUUUUUAGCUGUAAAUACUUUAAUAAACUUGUUUUGUCCCAUA
Long non-coding RNA from Cavia porcellus (domestic guinea pig), 6786 nucleotides. RefSeq lists it as uncharacterized. The record is from RefSeq and is a predicted model, not a curated record. NCBI's taxonomy places the organism in Eukaryota, Metazoa, Chordata, Mammalia, Rodentia, Caviidae. The transcript is spliced from 5 exons.